CCUACGGGUGGCAGCAGUGAGGAAUAUUGGUCAAUGGGCGCGAGCCUGAACCAGCCAAGUAGCGUGAAGGAUGACUGCCCUACGGGUUGUAAACUUCUUUUAUAAAGGAAUAAAAUGAGGCACGCGUGCCUUUUUGUAUGUACUUUAUGAAUAAGGAUCGGCUAACUCGGAGCCAGCAGCCGCGGUAAUACGGGGGAUCCGAGCGUUAUCCGGAUUUUUUGGGGUUAAGGGGAUCUUAGAUGGGUUGUAAAGUCAGUUGUAAAAGUUUGCGGCUAAACCGUAGAAUUGCAAUUGAUACGGGCAGUCUUGAGUACAGAUAGGGUAGGCGGAAUUCGUGGUGUGGCGGUGAAAUGCU
This 355-nucleotide ribosomal RNA is filed under the name uncultured bacterium. Its description in RNAcentral is "partial 16S ribosomal RNA". It matches the Rfam family "Bacterial small subunit ribosomal RNA", at positions 338 to 690 of the family's 1533-position model. The record is from RNAcentral.